Molecule: ribosomal RNA, 465 nt
Filed under: Vreelandella stevensii
Lineage: Bacteria; Pseudomonadati; Pseudomonadota; Gammaproteobacteria; Oceanospirillales; Halomonadaceae
Description: partial 16S ribosomal RNA
Rfam family: Bacterial small subunit ribosomal RNA
Source: RNAcentral
CCUACGGGCUGCUGCAGUGGGGAAUAUUGGACAAUGGGCGAAAGCCUGAUCCAGCCAUGCCGCGUGUGUGAAGAAGGCCUUCGGGUUGUAAAGCACUUUCAGUGGGGAAGAAAGCCUUGGGGCUAAUACCCUCGAGGAAGGACAUCACCCACAGAAGAAGCACCGGCUAACUCCGUGCCAGCAGCCGCGGUAAUACGGAGGGUGCGAGCGUUAAUCGGAAUUACUGGGCGUAAAGCGCGCGUAGGCGGUCUGAUAAGCCGGUUGUGAAAGCCCCGGGCUCAACCUGGGAACGGCAUCCGGAACUGUCAGGCUAGAGUGCGGGAGAGGGAGGUAGAAUUCCCGGUGUAGCGGUGAAAUGCGUAGAGAUCGGGAGGAAUACCAGUGGCGAAGGCGGCCUUCUGGAAUGACACUGACGCUGAGGUGCGAAAGCGUGGGUAGCAAACAGGAUUAGAUACCCGGGUAGUC